ACUAUCGUUAACUGAAUACAUAGGUUAACGAGGCGAACCGGGGGAACUGAAACAUCUAAGUACCCCGAGGAAAAGAAAUCAACCGAGAUUCCCCCAGUAGCGGCGAGCGAACGGGGAGCAGCCCAGAGUCUGAAUCAGCUUGUGUGUUAGUGGAACGGUCUGGAAAGUCCGACGGUACAGGGUGAUAGUCCCGUACACCAAAAUGCACAGGCUGUGAACUCGAAGAGUAGGGCGGGACACGUGGUAUCCUGUCUGAAUAUGGGGGGACCAUCCUCCAAGGCUAAAUACUCCUGACUGACCGAUAGUGAACCAGUACCGUGAGGGAAAGGCGAAAAGAACCCCGGCGAGGGGAGUGAAAAAGAACCUGAAACCGUGUACGUACAAGCAGUGGGAGCACCUUCGGGUGUGACUGCGUACCUUUUGUAUAAUGGGUCAGCGACUUAUAUUCUGUAGCAAGGUUAACCGUAUAGGGGAGCCGCAGGGAAACCGAGUCUUAACUGGGCGUUAAGUUGCAGGGUAUAGACCCGAAACCCGGUGAUCUAGCCAUGGGCAGGUUGAAGGUUGGGUAACACUAACUGGAGGACCGAACCGACUAAUGUUGAAAAAUUAGCGGAUGACUUGUGGCUGGGGGUGAAAGGCCAAUCAAACCGGGAGAUAGCUGGUUCUCCCCGAAAGCUAUUUAGGUAGCGCCUCGUGAAUUCAUCUUCGGGGGUAGAGCACUGUUUCGGCUAGGGGGUCAUCCCGACUUACCAACCCGAUGCAAACUACGAAUACCGAAGAAUGUUAUCACGGGAGACACACGGCGGGUGCUAACGUCCGUCGUGAAGAGGGAAACAACCCAGACCGCCAGCUAAGGUCCCAAAGUCAUGGUUAAGUGGGAAACGAUGUGGGAAGGCACAGACAGCCAGGAUGUUGGCUUAGAAGCAGCCAUCAUUUAAAGAAAGCGUAAUAGCUCACUGGUCGAGUCGGCCUGCGCGGAAGAUGUAACGGGGCUAAACCAUGCACCGAAGCUGCGGCAGCGACACUAUGUGUUGUUGGGUAGGGGAGCGUUCUGUAAGCCUGCGAAGGUGNUGCUGGAGGUAUCAGAAGUGCGAAUGCUGACAUAAGUAACGAUAAAGCGGGUGAAAAGCCCGCUCGCCGGAAGACCAAGGGUUCCUGUCCAACGUUAAUCGGGGCAGGGUGAGUCGACCCCUAAGGCGAGGCCGAAAGGCGUAGUCGAUGGGAAACAGGUUAAUAUUCCUGUACUUGGUGUUACUGCGAAGGGGGGACGGAGAAGGCUAUGUUAGCCGGGCGACGGUUGUCCCGGUUUAAGCAUGUAGGCUGGUUGUCCAGGCAAAUCCGGAUAAUCAAGGCUGAGGUGUGAUGACGAGGCACUACGGUGCUGAAGUAACAAAUGCCCUGCUUCCAGGAAAAGCCUCUAAGCAUCAGGUAACAUCAAAUCGUACCCCAAACCGACACAGGUGGUCAGGUAGAGAAUACCAAGGCGCUUGAGAGAACUCGGGUGAAGGAACUAGGCAAAAUGGUGCCGUAACUUCGGGAGAAGGCACGCUGGUGUGUAGGUGAAGUCCCUGCGGAUGGAGCUGAGACCAGUCGAAGAUACCAGCUGGCUGCAACUGUUUAUUAAAAACACAGCACUGUGCAAACACGAAAGUGGACGUAUACGGUGUGACGCCUGCCCGGUGCCGGAAGGUUAAUUGAUGGGGUUAUCCGUAAGGAGAAGCUCUUGAUCGAAGCCCCGGUAAACGGCGGCCGUAACUAUAACGGUCCUAAGGUAGCGAAAUUCCUUGUCGGGUAAGUUCCGACCUGCACGAAUGGCGUAAUGAUGGCCAGGCUGUCUCCACCCGAGACUCAGUGAAAUUGAACUCGCUGUGAAGAUGCAGUGUACCCGCGGCAAGACGGAAAGACCCCGUGAACCUUUACUAUAGCUUGACACUGAACAUUGAGCCUUGAUGUGUAGGAUAGGUGGGAGGCUUUGAAGCGUGGACGCCAGUCUGCGUGGAGCCAACCUUGAAAUACCACCCUUUAAUGUUUGAUGUUCUAACGUUGGCCCCUUACCGGGGUUGCGGACAGUGUCUGGUGGGUAGUUUGACUGGGGCGGUCUCCUCCCAAAGCGUAACGGAGGAGCACGAAGGUUAGCUAAUCCUGGUCGGACAUCAGGAGGUUAGUGCAAUGGCAUAAGCUAGCUUGACUGCGAGCGUGACGGCGCGAGCAGGUGCGAAAGCAGGUCAUAGUGAUCCGGUGGUUCUGAAUGGAAGGGCCAUCGCUCAACGGAUAAAAGGUACUCCGGGGAUAACAGGCUGAUACCGCCCAAGAGUUCAUAUCGACGGCGGUGUUUGGCACCUCGAUGUCGGCUCAUCACAUCCUGGGGCUGAAGUAGGUCCCAAGGGUAUGGCUGUUCGCCAUUUAAAGUGGUACGCGAGCUGGGUUUAGAACGUCGUGAGACAGUUCGGUCCCUAUCUGCCGUGGGCGCUGGAGAAUUGAGGGGGGCUGCUCCUAGUACGAGAGGACCGGAGUGGACGCAUCACUGGUGUUCGGGUUGUCAUGCCAAUGGCACUGCCCGGUAGCUAAAUGCGGAAGAGAUAAGUGCUGAAAGCAUCUAAGCACGAAACUUGCCCCGAGAUGAGUUCUCCCUGAGACUUUAAGUCUCCUGAAGGAACGUUGAAGACGACGACGUUGAUAGGCCGGGUGUGUAAGCGCAGCGAUGCGUUGAGCUAACCGGUACUAAUGAACCGUGAGGCUUAACC
This 2744-nucleotide ribosomal RNA is filed under the name Klebsiella pneumoniae. RNAcentral describes it as "bacterial LSU rRNA". It matches the Rfam family "Bacterial large subunit ribosomal RNA". Lineage: Bacteria; Pseudomonadati; Pseudomonadota; Gammaproteobacteria; Enterobacterales; Enterobacteriaceae. The record is from RNAcentral.